CUUGGGAAUGGCGAGGAAACCGUUACCAUUACUGAGUUUAGUGAUGGUAACGGUUCUCUUGCUGUACCCAGA
This is a microRNA precursor of Carlito syrichta (Philippine tarsier), 72 nucleotides long. Ensembl annotates it as microRNA 451a. Its record names the gene MIR451A. Lineage: Eukaryota; Metazoa; Chordata; Mammalia; Primates; Tarsiidae. The record is from Ensembl.